UACGUAGGGAGCAAGCGUUGUCCGGAAUCAUUGGGCGUAAAGCGCGCGUAGGUGGCCCAGUAAGUCCGUUCUGAAAGUCACAGGCUCAACCUGUGAAAGCGGAUGGAUACUGCUGGGCUAGAGUCCGGAAGAGGCGAGUGGAAUUCCUGGUGUAGCGGUGGAAUGCGCAGAUAUCAGGAGGAACACCAAUGGCGAAGGCAGCUCGCUGGGACGUGACUGACGCUGAGACGCGAAAGCGUGGGGAGCAAACAGG
RNAcentral lists this ribosomal RNA (253 nucleotides) under uncultured bacterium. RNAcentral's name for it is "partial 16S ribosomal RNA". It matches the Rfam family "Bacterial small subunit ribosomal RNA", at positions 524 to 776 of the family's 1533-position model. The record is from RNAcentral.